CAGGGGGGCUCAGUGAGUUCUAGCCACAUGAAUCUCCUUCCUGGUGUGUGGUUGACCACGUGAAGACCAAGCUUCCACCCAAAGUUCAGGUUGUGGAGCAGUGUUAUUUGCUCUGUGUCACUGUAUGGCUCCCCUGGGAGGCAGAAGCUGCGGCAGGAGCUGUGCACAACCCAGACACUGGCUGGCACUUACCAGAAAUAGCUGCAGACUCGCAGAACGUUCCAGCUUUGCUCUCUGAGGGAAGUUGCCUGCCGUGAGACGCCUGGGGAUUUAUCUGGCUAUGGCUCAGCUAACUUACACGCUUGGUCUCCUCUCCCACAUCUGCUUCCUCUUCCACCUCAUGCCUGGCACCUUCUCUUUCUGGCUGGUGAGCACAGAGGCUCUGCAAGAGCCAGUUCACUGCUCUCUGU
Molecule: long non-coding RNA, 410 nt
Organism: Gymnogyps californianus (California condor)
Lineage: Eukaryota; Metazoa; Chordata; Aves; Accipitriformes; Cathartidae
Exons: 3
Source: RefSeq, a predicted model, not a curated record